UACGGAGGGUGCAAGCGUUGUCCGGAUUUAUUGGGUUUAAAGGGUGCGUAGGCGGCUUGAUAAGUCCGUGGUGAAAGCCAACAGCUCAACUGUUGAACUGCCAUGGAUACUGUCAGGCUUGAGUACAGACGAGGUAGGCGGAAUUGAUGGUGUAGCGGUGAAAUGCAUAGAUACCAUCAAGAACACCGAUUGCGAAGGCAGCUUACUAGGCUGUAACUGACGCUGAGGCACGAAAGCGUGGGGAGCGAACAGG
RNAcentral lists this ribosomal RNA (253 nucleotides) under uncultured bacterium. RNAcentral's name for it is "partial 16S ribosomal RNA". It matches the Rfam family "Bacterial small subunit ribosomal RNA", at positions 524 to 776 of the family's 1533-position model. RNAcentral also lists the same sequence under 1 other name. The record is from RNAcentral.